UGCAAGUCGAGGGGCAGCAUAGAGUUUAGCAAUAAAACUCGGAUGGCGACCGGCGCACGGGUGAGUAACACGUAUCCAACCUGCCUUUUAUUCGGGGAUAGCCUUGCGAAAGUAAGAUUAACACCCGAUGGUAUUGGGAUUCCGCAUGGAAAUCCAAUUAAAAGCAAUGAUAAAGAUGGGGAUGCGUUCCAUUAGGCAGUUGGCGGGGUAACGGCCCACCAAACCGACGAUGGAUAGGGGUUCUGAGAGGAAGGUCCCCCACAUUGGAACUGAGACACGGUCCAAACUCC
Molecule: ribosomal RNA, 290 nt
Filed under: uncultured Bacteroidales bacterium
Lineage: Bacteria; Pseudomonadati; Bacteroidota; Bacteroidia; Bacteroidales
Description: partial 16S ribosomal RNA
Rfam family: Bacterial small subunit ribosomal RNA
Source: RNAcentral